UUGUAUGAACACGGAGAGCUACUAUCUUCCAUGCAAACUGUCAGCAAGCCCUGUCCUAAAAGCUUGAGUUGACCAAUGUCAGAUGGAUGAUAUCAAGUAGUGUCUUUCAGUCUCUGGAAAUACCACCAGCCAGGAAGUUCUGUAUUGCAGGUUGGUUGCCCAUGCUGCCAUUGAAGAACAAGAGUGAAAAGCCAUACGAGGGAAGAGUUAGGCAUCUAUAGGUGAAGUUCCAUUGCACUCUUGCAUUAGACAGCAAACAUAUACUGCUGUAUAUACAUAAACGGUAGGACCUACAUAAGUGGUAUGUCCAGUCCUGCAUCUGCAAGGGUGUUCACAUAUCAGCCAAUGUUAAAAACCCAUCCUUUGAGACAGACAGCCAACUCAAGUCUCUGAAGAUAGCAGGUACAAAUUAAGGACUGCAGCAAGUGAUGAAUAUUGAAUAUCUUUGGCAGAGUGUUACCACAGGGAACCAACAGGGAAGGUUACUGUAAGUGGAGAAGAGUAACUUGUAGAGUUGAUCUGAAAUGUAUCUUUUGAUGUGAAACAAUAUAUCUGCAAACUUUCUCC
Aptenodytes forsteri (emperor penguin) is the source of this 567-nucleotide long non-coding RNA. RefSeq lists it as uncharacterized. The transcript has 3 exons. The record is from RefSeq and is a predicted model, not a curated record. Lineage: Eukaryota; Metazoa; Chordata; Aves; Sphenisciformes; Spheniscidae.